GCUAAACAAAAACAAAAUGAUAUGUUAAUAGAUAGCAUAGGUAGCUGUAUUGUUAACCUAUAAAGCAAACAUAUACAGAUACAAUAGAAACUAUAAAAGCAGGAUAAAGUGCUGGAGAUAAAAGAUAAAUGAUGUCCCAAGAAGUAUCAAGCUUUAGUAUCAAAGGUAUAUGAAAAGAACUUGUAUACAACAAUCGCCCAAACCAUCUUGAAUUGUUAGCUAGAGCCAGAACAAUGAACUGAUCCAUUCCACCAUAUAGCAUCAAUUGAGAUCUCCUACACAUCCAAUCAUUGAACUUAUACAACUGAAAAGUACAAAGGAAGACCACAGCCAGAAUAUUAAGAAAAAUAAGGCAAUAAAGAGAACACCCGUAGAGAUAAGUAAUAGAAAAAAUGCAACAACAUAAACAAUAGGGCUUUGAACUAAAGAAUAGAUGCAAUGGAAUAAAACCAAUAGCUUGAUAGAGAUCGGAUAAUAGAUAGAACAAAAAUUUCAAAACCACC
Molecule: long non-coding RNA, 503 nt
Filed under: Elaeis guineensis (African oil palm)
Lineage: Eukaryota; Viridiplantae; Streptophyta; Magnoliopsida; Arecales; Arecaceae
Description: long non-coding RNA (EGUI_LNC038940)
Source: RNAcentral